This 386-nucleotide ribosomal RNA is filed under the name Choanoflagellata sp. RNAcentral describes it as "partial small subunit ribosomal RNA". It matches the Rfam family "Eukaryotic small subunit ribosomal RNA", at positions 582 to 975 of the family's 1831-position model. The record is from RNAcentral. Lineage: Eukaryota; Choanoflagellata.
AUUCCAGCUCCAAUAGCGUAUAUUAAAGUUGUUGCAGUUAAAAAGCUCGUAGUUGGACUUCUGAUUCGAAAGAUCGGUCCGCCGCAAGGCGAGCACUGAUUCUUCGAGUCUUCCUCUCGUAGUUGUUUGGCGCACUUGAUUGGGUGCCAGAUGAAUAUGGGACCUUUACUUUGAAAAAAUUAGAGUGUUCAAAGCAGGCAAUCGCUUGAAUACAUUAGCAUGGAAUAAUAGAAUAGGACUUUGGUUCUAUUUUGUUGGUUUCUAGGACCGAGGUAAUGAUUAAUAGGGACAGUUGGGGGCAUUAGUAUUUAAUUGUCAGAGGUGAAAUUCUUGGAUUUAUGAAAGACUAACUACUGCGAAAGCAUUUGCCAAGGAUGUUUUCAUUG